UACGAAGGGGGCUAGCGUUGCUCGGAAUGACUGGGCGUAAAGGGCGCGUAGGCGGCUGUGACAGUCAGAUGUGAAAUUCCCGGGCUCAACCUGGGGGCUGCGCUUGAGACGUGCGAUCUUGAGUGGGGAAGAGGGUCGUGGAAUUCCCAGUGUAGAGGUGAAAUUCGUAGAUAUUGGGAAGAACACCGGUGGCGAAGGCGGCGACCUGGUCCUUGACUGACGCUGAGGCGCGAAAGCGUGGGGAGCAAACAGG
This 253-nucleotide ribosomal RNA is filed under the name uncultured bacterium. RNAcentral's name for it is "partial 16S ribosomal RNA". It matches the Rfam family "Bacterial small subunit ribosomal RNA", at positions 524 to 776 of the family's 1533-position model. The record is from RNAcentral.